AUUGAACGCUGGCGGCAUGAUUUACACAUGCAAGCCGAACGGUAACAGGCCGCAAGGUGCUGACGAGUGGCGAACGGGUGAGUAAUGCAUCGGAACGUGCCCAGUCGUGGGGGAUAACUACUCGAAAGAGUAGCUAAUACCGCAUACGAUCUAUGGAUGAAAGCGGGGGACCGUAAGGCCUCGCGCGAUUGGAGCGGCCGAUGUCAGAUUAGGUAGUUGGUGGGGUAAAGGCUCACCAAGCCAACGAUCUGUAGCUGGUCUGAGAGGACGACCAGCCACACUGGGACUGAGACACGGCCCAGACUCCUACGGGAGGCAGCAGUGGGGAAUUUUGGACAAUGGGCGCAAGCCUGAUCCAGCAAUGCCGCGUGCAGGAAGAAGGCCUUCGGGUUGUAAACUGCUUUUGUACGGAACGAAACGGCUCUGGUUAAUACCCGGGGCUAAUGACGGUACCGUAAGAAUAAGCACCGGCUAACUACGUG
RNAcentral lists this ribosomal RNA (482 nucleotides) under uncultured bacterium. RNAcentral describes it as "partial 16S ribosomal RNA". It matches the Rfam family "Bacterial small subunit ribosomal RNA", at positions 30 to 507 of the family's 1533-position model. The record is from RNAcentral.